Coregonus clupeaformis (lake whitefish) is the source of this 1376-nucleotide long non-coding RNA. RefSeq lists it as uncharacterized. The transcript is spliced from 4 exons. The record is from RefSeq and is a predicted model, not a curated record. Lineage: Eukaryota; Metazoa; Chordata; Actinopteri; Salmoniformes; Salmonidae.
GGGACCAACACUUUACAUGUUGCAUUUAUAUUUCUGUUCUGUUUCUAGCCAGUUGGCAAUUCUUGGAAAUUACUGAUUUGCUUGUUAUGGUUUGUAACCCUUUCGUAACUGUACAGUAGUUCAAUCAAUUCAGUUUGAAUUGAACUUUUGUGCAGAAUGUUCUGCUCUGACUCCAAUCUUUCAUCUCAUGCAGAAAGAGACUUGUGUUCUCUGUAAACAGCAUUUGGCCUGUGCAGCUAUUGACAGGACUCAUCAUGCACUCCACACAGCAAGUCUUUCUCUUUGUGACGGUUGCUCUAGAAGCUCUGCUCUGUGUAUUAUUGCUUUUGCCUGCUCUAGCUUAUACUCUGCCUGCACUUUCCUGACCACUGGUCAGUAGCACUUGUCUCGCUCACAAAGAUUGUACAUAUUUGAAGACAGAAAUAAAUAAUAAACUCAUUUUUGCUUGACAACAUGUUCUCUCCUCCUCUAUCCUAUUGCUUCUCUAGUCCAAGUUUACUUUACAAAAAAUAGUGCACUGUAUAGGGAAUAGGGUGCCAUUUGGGAUGGGCCCCACAUCUCCAGCACAAAUGCACACUGACCACAUUGUAUCCGAUCUCUGCAGUGUUUAUUGAUUUCUACCAGCAACACAUGCUGAGUUGUUCUGUUGUGUGCAGAUUUCACAGUGGUGUUUCUCAACCUCUGGACUGAUCCUGUUUGUGUACUCACACUUCUCUAAUGCCGUAAAUGAGAAGGGUUACGGGAAACCCAUCCCCCUCAUAUGAAGUCAGGAUAAACUAUUGACUGACUGUUGUGUAAUCUAUGGUUGCUGGCCAAUAGCAUCCUGUGUUCUUUAAAAGGCUGUGUGUGUUUUGUUGGUCUUCAUUUUUGCAGAGGCCAUGAUGAAGGGAGUUGCAGUGCGAGUCGGCCUCAUUGGCCUGCAGCUGGCCUGCGUUACCACGGCACCGACCAAUAAGGGACUGGGACAUCUACAGCUUUCACGUCAACUCCACAGUGACCAGUCGCUAUGCAACCACUAUCAUCACCAGCCGGGUGGCCAAUCGGAUCGAUCAAUCACAAGACAUAGAAUUUCAUAGAAUUUCUCUUCCUCAGGAACAUUGAGGGAAAGACGUAUGAUGGGGUUGUGAAACAGAAGGAGGAGGCCUCCAGAGGGCCCCCAUUGAUUUUUUCUGUGGGGAGGACCCAUGAGGAGUUUAAGACGUCUGUGACUGUGGCUGCGCUCAGUAAGGUGACCUUUGAAUUGACCUAUGAGUAGCUGUUGAAAUGCCGACUGGGCAAGUACGAACUGCUGAUCCACGCUCGACCCAUGCAGCCUGUCGCUGACUUCAAGAUUGACGUGUACAUCAAUGAGCGACCAGGCAUUAACUUCCUGGACA